GACGAACGCUGGCGGCGUGCCUAAUACAUGCAAGUCGAACGCACUCUCGUUUAGAUUGAAGGAGCUUGCUCCUGAUUGAUAAACAUUUGAGUGAGUGGCGGACGGGUGAGUAACACGUGGGUAACCUGCCCUAAAGUGGGGGAUAACAUUUGGAAACAGAUGCUAAUACCGCAUAAAACCUAACACCGCAUGGUGUAGGGUUGAAAGAUGGUUUCGGCUAUCACUUUAGGAUGGACCCGCGGUGCAUUAGUUAGUUGGUGAGGUAAAGGCUCACCAAGACCGUGAUGCAUAGCCGACCUGAGAGGGUAAUCGGCCACACUGGGACUGAGACACGGCCCAGACUCCUACGGGAGGCAGCAGUAGGGAAUCUUCCACAAUGGACGAAAGUCUGAUGGAGCAACGCCGCGUGAGUGAAGAAGGUUUUCGGAUCGUAAACUCUGUUGUUGGAGAAGGAAUGUAUCUGAUAGUAACUGAUCAGGUAGUGACGGUAUCCAACC
Molecule: ribosomal RNA, 497 nt
Filed under: uncultured bacterium
Lineage: Bacteria
Description: bacterial SSU rRNA
Rfam family: Bacterial small subunit ribosomal RNA
Source: RNAcentral